Molecule: long non-coding RNA, 329 nt
Filed under: Mytilus galloprovincialis (Mediterranean mussel)
Lineage: Eukaryota; Metazoa; Mollusca; Bivalvia; Mytilida; Mytilidae
Source: RNAcentral
AAAAAGGGCCCAAAUAAGCAUUUUCUUGGUUUUCGCACUAUAGCUUUUAGUUUAAGUAAAUAGAAAUCUAUAAAAUUUUGACACAAGGUUUAUGACCACAAAAGGAAGGUUGGGAUUGAUUUUGGGAGUUUUGGUCCCAACAGUUUAGGAAUUAGGGGCCAAUAAAGGGCCCAAAUAAGCAUUAUUCUUGGUUUUCGCACAAUAACUUUAGUAUAAGUAAAUAGAAAUCAAUGAAAUUUAAACACAAGGUUUAUGACCACAAAAGGAAGGUUGGGAUUGAUUUUGAGAGUUUUGGUCCCAACAGUUUAGGAAUUAGGGGCCAAAAAGGG